UACAGAGGGUGCAAGCGUUGUCCGGAAUUAUUGGGCGUAAAGAGCUCGUAGGCGGUUUGUCGCGUCGAAUGUGAAAACUCGAGGCUCAACCCCGGACUUGCGGUGGGUACGGGCAGACUAGAGUGUGGUAGGGGAGACUGGAAUUCCUGGUGUAGCGGUGAAAUGCGCAGAUAUCAGGAGGAACACCGAUGGCGAAGGCAGGUCUCUGGGCCACUACUGACGCUGAGAAGCGAAAGCGUGGGGAGCGAACAGG
This 253-nucleotide ribosomal RNA is filed under the name uncultured bacterium. Its description in RNAcentral is "partial 16S ribosomal RNA". It matches the Rfam family "Bacterial small subunit ribosomal RNA", at positions 524 to 776 of the family's 1533-position model. The record is from RNAcentral.